Molecule: non-coding RNA, 848 nt
Organism: Arachis ipaensis
Lineage: Eukaryota; Viridiplantae; Streptophyta; Magnoliopsida; Fabales; Fabaceae
Source: RefSeq, a predicted model, not a curated record
GCAAUUCAUAUUUCAUCUUCAUCAAAAAAAGAAAUAGCCACUUUCUUGAAGAAAGUCACCUCUCAGGAACCUAAUCUUCAUGUUGUUGACAUUGAUCUACCACUUAUUGGAGUUUGUGCUCACAAUUAUUAAAAUGAACUUGAGGCUGCUAAAUCUGAGAUUCAAAGUUGGCAUUCUUCAAUUCAAAAUGAGCCUUGUGUACCUGCUGGUGCCACUCCUGAGCCCAAAAUGUUGCUUGAUUUUCUUCAGGCCUUGAAAUCCUCAGAGGAGUCUUUAAGAGAGCAGCUUGAAAAGGCAAAGAAAAAGGAAGCUGCGUUCAUUGUAACAUUUGCAAAACGAGAACAAGAGAUAGCAGAGUUGAAGGUAUCAUGCUCAAAAUAAGAUUUUUUCUAUAGCAUGGCUGUAUAUGUGCAAUUACAUUUUUUUCUGACAUCAACUUUUGACCACCUGAGUAAAAUUUAUUUCCACCCUUUUAAGAAUACUAACAAAUUUACCCACUCUUCAAUGCUAGUCAAGUUGAAAUAAUUGCCUUAUUUGUUGUCUGAGUGUAGAUCGGAUAUAGUAAGGUAGACAUCCUCUGCUCAGAAAGUGGGAAGCAGUGAAUAAUUUUGAUGGACCAAGAAUCUCAAGAAGCAAGUAUAUUGCCAUCAUCACUAAGAAGCUCAAGAAAGAAUGAAGCUAUCCAUAAAUUAGGAUAUUGAAUCUUGAUGAGUCCACUAGUAGUUAUUUGUCAUCUAAUGUAUUUAGAUUGUAUUAUUUCAUGGAAAUAAUUGCUUCUUAUUAUAAAGAAAGCGUUUUGUACUCACUGGUGUGUUUUUCUAUUUAUACCAUCAAUAAAAAUUUAUAUU